This 327-nucleotide ribosomal RNA is filed under the name uncultured eukaryote. RNAcentral describes it as "partial 18S ribosomal RNA". It matches the Rfam family "Eukaryotic small subunit ribosomal RNA", at positions 1470 to 1796 of the family's 1831-position model. The record is from RNAcentral.
CCCUUAGAUGUUCUGGGCCGCACGCGCGCUACACUGACGAAUGCAACGAGCUUAUAACCUUGGCCGAAAGGUCUGGGUAAUCUCCAAAUUUCGUCGUGAUGGGGAUAGAUUAUUGCAAUUAUUAAUCUUCAACGAGGAAUGCCUAGUAAGCGCAAGUCAUCAGCUUGCGUUGAUUACGUCCCUGCCCUUUGUACACACCGCCCGACGCUCCUACCGAUUGAAUGGUCCGGUGAAGCGUUCGGACCGUGGCCUUUGGACGGUUCGCCGUCUGUUGGCUGCGGGAAGUUCGUUAAACCUUAUCAUUUAGAGGAAGGAGAAGUCGUANCA